UUUCCAUUACCUGUUGAAACAAAAAUACCCCUGCGAAGGGGUUUCUGCACAUUUAACUUUAUUCUAAAGCGACAGAACUCACCAAUAAUUUCAGAUCUGAUCACUCCUCCAAAAGUGACUCCAAUAGCAUGCAAAAGAUCUUUUUUAUCAAAUUCAGGUAAACAUGGCCCAAUUUUGAUCCAGGACGGUGAUGAAACAAGUCUAAUUUGAUCUCUCUUCAUUGAUUUUGUCAAUCGAUAAAAAAUAAUUAAAUGUUUCCUAAACAACCAAGGUUGACCUUCCAUAACAGUUUCUAAGUCUUCGUCUAAUUCAAACACUAUCAAAAAAAGGUUUUGCCCAACCGAUUGAAUCUCAAAUUUUUUCUUUGUUUUUCAUAUGCUUUUCAUCUGUGCUUUAAAACUGUCCUGAUUGUAAGAUUUCUUUGUCCAUACAGAACAGAUCAGAUAAGGUUUACCAUUUGCCUCCACCAUCGAACUCUUGACAGAUAGUUGAAUGAGUUCCUCUGCUAAUAGGGAGAUCUCGUCUCCCCCAAACCCAUCGUUCCCACCACUCUCCGUCAUCCCAAGCCGCAGCAGCCACUGUUUUCGCUAGGACACCAGGCAUAGCACUCUUGGCUUCUAGGGUUUUUUCUUUUUAAAUAAAAUUAAUUUAAUAUAAACGAAAAGAUGUAGUUUUUAAUUUAAAGUUUAAUUGAUGUGAGAUAAGAUGAUUGUUACCC
This 718-nucleotide long non-coding RNA is filed under the name Gossypium raimondii (Peruvian cotton). Its description in RNAcentral is "long non-coding RNA (GRAI_LNC006464)". Lineage: Eukaryota; Viridiplantae; Streptophyta; Magnoliopsida; Malvales; Malvaceae. The record is from RNAcentral.